Molecule: long non-coding RNA, 8097 nt
Organism: Canis lupus familiaris (dog)
Lineage: Eukaryota; Metazoa; Chordata; Mammalia; Carnivora; Canidae
Exons: 7
Source: RefSeq, a predicted model, not a curated record
GCUCCGUUUUCAGGACACAGUGAUUGUGUACGGCUCUGAGGCCCCCUCCAGGGCGCUCCUAUGAAUGAGAGACCCGCUUGCGAGGCCCCUUAAGCCUCGUUUGAGGCCUUUCCCGGCCGACGGUAGUCGGAAGUUGGUCGGAAAAGCGAAGGCCUUAAUGAAGACCUCGCCGUACAGGAGCCCGCAGUACGGCGGCUGUGUCCUCAACAAGCAAAAGUUGACGUACGAAAUUGUGUGGGAGAGGUUAGCAAUGCCUUAGGGGUCCAAAGAAGGGAUUGCUAAAGAAAGACGAAGGAAUUAUUGCUAAGAGCCUCUUCACAAAGGAGCUGAUUUGUGCUCAGACUUAGAAAUUUGGGGCAGAAAACUACUUCCUGAGAGGAAUCUUUUGAGGCGAAAUCAGUUAAUCACAAAAUAGGGGCGCCCGGGUGGCUCCGCGGUUGAGCGUCUGCCUGCGGCUCAGGUCAUGACCCCCGAGACCGAGGAUCGAGUCCUGCGUCGGGCUCCCAGCGCGGAGCCUGCUUCUCCCUCUGCCUGCGUCUCCGCCUCUCUCUGUGUGUCUCUCCUGAGUAAAUAAAAUCUUAAAAAAGGAAAGACUUUCCUGCAGAUUGCAAAGAACCAAUGAUCUUAAUAAGUGGAAGUGGUUAGUUACUAUACUAGUAAUGAUAGUGGCUAAUAUUUACGGAGUGCUUUAAGAUGAAAAUAUUGCAGUGGGAGCAUGGGGAUACGACCAACAAGAUUGAUGAUCCUCCCCACAAAAGAUGUGUGCCUGUCAGUCUGCCACUGUUGAAAGCUUUGCCUUGGCUGUCCCUCCAUUGAAGUUUUUGCUCACUCACAACCUUGACUAUAAUCCUUCCAGCAAAAAAAAAAAAAAAAAAAAAUCCUUCCAGCAACAGGCCAGCACUAUACUUGCCCAGAUGUUCACGCAGAGGUUGCCCUGGCAGCUGUGGCUCUCCAAUCUACGCCAAAGUCCUGCUGGAGGUCUUGAGAUGAGCAGUGUCUCUGCGUGGUGGCUGGAUAUCAAGCUCUCCAGGAGUGAACAUUUGCAGUCCUUGAACGGCAAGUCCUGGUGUCCAUGAAAUACCUAUAAGUGGAUGUGUUGAAGUCUGUGUGGUGUUUGGAUAUGAAAUCCCAGAGACAGUCUCUGCUAAACAGAUCUUUCACACUUCCAGAAUUUUCCCAGUGUGCGAGCACACUCUGGCAGUCUUCCAGAGCACUUUCUGGAUUAAUUUCUCUGAGUCUUCUCCAUAGCAGAGCUUGAACUCCUGUGCAGAUGAGGACAUGCCUGACCUUGCUUGCCUUCAGGAAGUGGAGUCAGAGUUGUCCUUACAGAGGCCAAAAGAGCUUAUCCUACCCUACAGGCAUUUUUGUAUUCUAAUAGAGCUUUUCCACCUCUAAUCACACUAACAAUUUAGUCAACCCUGCAAAAGAUAUGGGAAAAAAAUUUUAAAACAAAGCCAAAACACUUUGCCUUUGACUCAUUUCAAUGUAAGUUACUCACUAAGUCUGUUUUUAGCCAGGGUUCCCUGUGUCAUUCUGCAUUUCUUUUCCCCCUGUAAAUCACUGGAAGGGAAGAAGCCACAAGAUACAUUACAUAUGCAGACAUUUUCUUAAAAAGCCCUCAAAUGUCUCUGAAAGUUAGCUUAGUAUUUUGAUUCAAAAUGCUGUUUUUGUAGCACUUCACAGCAAGAAAACAGGAAAUUAAGACAAUCUGAACUGCUGAAAGGGCAAGAAGAAACUAACCAGUAGGUUCCAACUAAUCCAGGUGCUUCAGGAAAAGACCCCGCCCACAACCUCUACCAGUUCAGACUGCCUUGACUCAGGACAAAGAACUUUCCUCUCUACCCCCAGGCCAAUUUGCUCUGUUCUCAGACAGCUUUCAAAUUUUAUUGAUUCAGGGAGCUGUGUAGGGACAACAUACUAAACCCAUUUCAUUGCUGAGGAAGUUUUGGGGAGGAAAAUCCUCCUGAAAGUGCAGGUGAGGCUAGAUGCUGAGGACUAAGAAUGCCUCCACAGAGUGAUGUCAGGCUACCUGCUGUUAGAGCCCCAUUGCCUCAGGUAGACUGUUUUCCUUUCCCUUCCAACGUGAAUCAAAUUCCCAGUACCAAAGUAGCUUCUUUGAAUUAGAGCUGUGGUUCUCAAACUUUAGAGUGCAUCAAAAUCACUCAGAGGGUUUAUUAAAACAAAGAUUGCUGGGCCCCUGACUCAUCACUCAUUAGGUCUAUGGUGAAGCCUCACAAAUUGCGUUUCUAAGAAGUUCCCAGAUGUUGCUCAUGCUGUUGGCCCUGGGGCCACACUUUGAGAGCCAAUGAAUUAGGGUAUUAUGAAGACUGACUUCACAAUGCACAUAUCCUGGAAGUAGCAUGCUAAAAUGUUAAUAACUGACACAUGGGGGCGCCUACAUGGCUCAGCGGUUGAGCAUCUGUCUUGCGCUCAGGUUGUGAUCCCCGGGUCCUGGGAUCGAGUCCCAGAUCAGGCUCCCCGCAGGGAGCCUGCUUCUCCUUCUGCCUAUUUCUCUUCCUCUUUCUGUGUGUCUCUCAUAAAUAAAUAAAUAAAACCUUAAAAAAUAAUAACUGACACAUGAUGUAAUAAAGCAUGAUAUGAGCUUAAACGGAUCCUGAGUUAAUAAUAACUAUCAUUUAUUAAGUGCUUACUAUGGGCCUGUCAUUAUGUCCAAAGUUUAUACCUCAUAACACCGGACGAGUUGACUAUUUCAAUUUUCAGGAAACCUAGGCUGAGGGAGAAUUGAAGCAACUUGCCAGAAAGGGUAAUAGUGGUAAGAUUUGAACCCAGAUCUGUCUCUUAAACCAUUCAUGCUAUUGAAAAGCCUUAGGAUAGGGACACCUGGGUGGCUCAGCAGUUUAGCAUCUGCCCUCGGCUCAGGGCAUGACCCUAGAGUCCCAGGAUCGAGUCCCACAUCAGGCUUCUUGCAUGGAGCCUGCUUCUCCCUCUGCCUGUGUCGCUGCCUCUCUCUCUGUGUCUCUCAUGUGUUUCUCAUAAAUAAAAAUCUUAAAAAAAAAGAAAAGAAUAAUCCAAGAGCCAAGGAAGACCAAAAGUCUUAGACCAACAAGAUUCCCAAGGCUUCCCUUGGCCUAUCUGGGAGCCCCAUGUCACCCAGUGACCUAAUUUGAUAUAUGGAGGAGAAAUGCUGAAGCUAGAGACAGCAGUUUAGAAUUCCUCCCUAGAUAUAAUGAUUACAUGUGAUGUAGAAACUCUCAAAUGAUCUGGCUUACUCUUAUUUUUGAGAGUCUUGAGGAUCAACUUAAAGAGAAGUUAAGAUUUCAAGCUUAAGCCUGAAUCUUGCUGAGGCAUGGAUAAGUGAUGACCAGGGGCCGCGCAGAGGGACCAAGGAAGGGGAGAGUGGUGACCUAGGGAGCUACUGCCCAAACUCCAGAGUAUCAGAAUCACUUGGAACCUGAUAGAAAUACAGAGACCCAGACCCUAUCCCACCUCAACAACAGCCUGGGCAUCUACAUUUUCUUUUUAAGUAAUCUCUACACCAACCUGGGGUUCAAACUCACAACCCCUAGGGUCUAGAGUCACAUGCUCUACUGACUAAGCCAGCCUGGUGCCCCCUGAGGCUACACAUUUUGAACAAGCUUUCUGGUAAUGCUGAUGAAUAGCAGUGUUUGAGUGAUGGUUUUCAAGUAUUUUUUUUUAAAGCAGUGCAACUCUAUCUUUAACAAAAUCUUAGGAAAGGCCUGGAUAACAUAUCACUCGUCUCCUGCCAGUGGCCCCCGAGUCACUUCCAUUACUCUUCUGGGGCUCAGGGGAACACUGGCUUAAUACGUUCAAAAUACUGGAUAUAGUUUCCAAAAAUGUAGACCCAGGCCUGUGUACAUUUCACUAAAGACCAGGGUUUGUGGUCAUGAAUACUGUGAGAAUGUUUUCAAGAAUUUUUUUUUUUUUAUUUAGACGUUUCCUCAGUUUGUUUUUAAUAAGUCAAGCUGGUUUCCUUAUAGUCCCUGGAAACAAAAACCUUUUUAAAAAUAAUAGGGCUUAUGCUUAUUUCAGACCUGCAGGUGGGCAAGAAUUGAAAAGCAUGUGUCUGCUGUCCUCAGAGAAGCAAUGGGCCAGGAGAGGAAACAGAAUAGGCAGUGGAGAGAGACUCCAGAGCCAAUCCCUGCCAGUGGAAGGAAGUGUUGGAUUAGGAGCUGGCCCAAACUGGGAGGCUCUCCUGUGGGGUUUACUGAUAGGAAGACUUCAUUUCUACCCCUACCCUCUGAAGUCAGCCAUGUCUGACUGGACAAAUGGCUGUGUGUGUGUGUGUGUGUGUGUGUGUGUGUGUGUGUGUAUCCAUCCUGUUUGUAGUUUGGGGUUGAAAAUAUUCCCGGGGGUUUUCCCAAAGCCUCAAACCAAGCAGGCCCCUCCCUACAAGACAGGGCAAGAUUCCUCAUGAAGCAGCACAUGCUGCUCACUGGGUUAGCACUCAGGUCUGUGGUCAUCCCUGCAGCCCUUCCCAAGAGAAGCUUCCAUGUGUGGCUACUAGCCUCCUAGCUGAAUCAGUCCUGGGGGUAACCAAGGAGGCAGCAAGGGUUAUCCAUACUCCAACUCCCCUUUUAGCACCCUCUUUUCCUCCACUGGGCAUAUUCACCCUUGCAAACUGGAACCAGACAUGUUGGCUCUUUGCAGGCUAUUAACAGAUUCCCUCUAACACCUGGCUACUAAAAGUGUGGUCAGACACGCAGCAUCAAUGUCACCAGCAUGACCAGGACCUUGUUAAAAAGUGCAGUCUCAGAUCCUCCCACACCUACCGAAUCAGGAUCUAGUUUUAACAAGGCCCAGGUGAUUUGUAUGCACAAUAAAGUUUGAGAAGGUCUGCUCUAAGCUGCAGUUCUCAGGGUUGGCUAUGCUUUAGAAUCACCUAAGGAGCUUUGAAAAAUCCUGAUCUUACCCCAGACCAAUUAAAUCAGACUUUCUGGGGAUAAAGCCCAGGCAUCAAUUGUUUUUAAGCUCUAGAAGGUGACUCAAUGUCCAGCAGGGCUGGGAACCAGUCUCUGAAGUGAAGGAUGAAGCGGCUGCCUCUACUGAACCAUAUUUACAUUUUCCUGUGGGCCCCUGGAAACUGAAGAGACUUCCGAAUGCAAAGGAAUUCAUCCUAACUGGUGAAAUCUGAGGGGAGACAUUGCAAUAGGGGAGAAAAGGUUGUGGGAGGGGAGAGCAAGAAAGAAAGAGUCAGCUUUAAUCCCUACUAUAUUACAUCACCCGAAAGAGCAACAACAAAAAUUCUAUUUUAUCCAUGAGAAAAUGACUUACCCAUUCCAAGUGUACUUCCAGAGCAGGUUACUGUAAUGAAUAAAAACAAAAGCAUUUAAAAUAUAUUAAUGAACAUAUUUAAGAUGGUGAAGAUAUUAAAAAAAAAGAUAGUGAAGAUAUAACUUAAAGAAUAAUGGGAUAGUGAACCAAAGAGUGAUUAAGACCCAGCUUGAGUGAUAAAAGGAUAUAACUACUAGCAGUAUGACCUUGGACAAGUCACUUCACUUUUCUGUGCUUUAGUUUAUCUGUAAAGUGGUAAGAAUCAGAAUGUCAACCUCAUAAGGUUGUUACAGGGAUCAACUAAGUUAGCAUAUGUAAAGCCCUCAAAAUAGUGCUGGACACAUACACUCAAUAAACAUUAGUCAUUAUUAUCAUUUAUAAUAUUGUCUUAAUUAUCAAAGGAAGGCACCACUGAUAUCGAAAAAAAAGAAACUCAAGAAACAAAACCAAAACUCUUUCCCUAAACACCUGUUUCUUUAGCAGAGAGAUGGAGCAAAAGUGGAUUCCCUAACUGGAGUCUAGACACCUAAUCCUUGCUAAUGUGGAAUGACUGCAGGCUUGAGAUGGCAUCCCAGCAGGUUAUCCUCUUGAAAAAGCUUGAGGAGUAUCCUCUUGUGCCGAGAGAGGAGAAAUUGGCCUCAUACUCCAGAAUCUGUGCUGUGAUGAAGCCCAUCUGCCUAGAGACUUGGCUCUGGCGCUAGCUCCGAAACGACCAUGCGGCAAGACGGAACAAAGUCGCCACUGUGCUCUGGCCAGACAUUCCUUGAACAUCACUCAGGACUGUCUCCUUUGCCAUCAAAAGAAAACUGAGACUUAUAUCUGCUGGGGAGACGUUACAGACCUGCUCAUCGUAGCCGUCGACCCGCAGAAGUGUAUCUUGUCUCCUGGGUUAGCUACUCAUUCUCGUUGGAGUGGACCAGCUUCCUGGAAAAAUGACACCCAAACUAGCCAUCGGCAGACAAGGCCUGGCAGUGCGUUCAUGGAGUGGUUGGAGAGGCACCGGAAAGGCUAGACUGUCUCCUCCCAGGCCUGCCAAGGGCUGACAGCGCCACCACAUCGACCACCGUGAAGUGAGCAAGUUGCAGGUCGGUUGGAAUGAUGAACUCACCAAUUUAAGACAGAUAAGAGUGAAUCCAAUCAAAGGCAAACAUUUCUUGUGUCCACCAGCCAUCCUGUUGAACAUAGCACUCACAUGGCACACGCAACAGAGUGAUCCGGGUCCUCUUCGGUCCCCAGGAGGGCAGCACUGUGGAUUGCUGGGGCUGUAGGGCUGCGAUCCUGGGAAGUAGCUCCUCCUCUUCAGUGUGGAACUGACCCGUUCCUGGGGGCACUUGGAGAUUGGCAGGGACAGAUAUUGCCAAGGCUGAAAAAAAGAAGAGUUGAUGAAAACCACCCCAAACUGGCCAUAAAGGUACUGUAACCUGGGUUUCAAGGUAAUAUGUAGAAUGCUCUCUUCUUUAAAAAAAUUUUUUUUCAAAGAUUUUAUUUAUUCAUGAGAGACACACAGAGAGAGGCAGAGACACAAGCAGAGGGAGAAGCAGGCUCCCUGCGGGGGCCCAACAUGGAACUCCAUCCUGGGUCUCCAGGAUCACACCCUGAGCUGAAGGUAGACGCCCAACCACUGAGCCACCCAGGUGCCCGUUUGAGCUCUUUAUAAGCAUUUAAUCUAAACACUAUAAACAAUUCUAGUAAUAAGCAAGUAUGUAAAUUAGUAAUAAACAGUAUUAACUGACUUUUAUGGAAUCACACAAGUAUUACAUGGUGGAGCUGGGAUUAAAAUUCAUCAGACCUCUGUUUCCAACUGAAAUAGGGCAAAAGGGAAUGGAUUUACCACCUAUGACUUCGACUUAUUAUAAAACUACAGUAAUUAAGACAGGAUUAAUUGGUUAUAAUGAUUGGCGUGAAGACGGAUAAAUCAAUGGAAUAAAAUAGAUCAACAGAACAGCAUAGAGAGUCCAGAAAUAGACCCAAACAUAUAUAGACAAUUGAUUUUCAACAAACGUACAAAGGCAAUCCAGUAGAAAAAGGAUAGUCUUUUCAACAAAUGGUACUGGAAUGAUUAAAUAAUCAGAUGCAAAGAACAUGAGCUUUGAUCCAUAUCUUACCCUACAUAAAAAAUUAAUUCAAAAUGGAUUAUAGACCUAAAUGUAACACCUAAAACUAUAAAACUUCCAGAAAAAACUCGCUGUGAUGUUAGAUUAGUCAAAGAUUUCUUAGAUACCACACUGAAAGCAUGAUCCAUUUAAAAAAUUGAUACUUUGAACUUCAUCAAAAUCAAAAACUUUUGCACUAUUAAGGGAAUGAAAAAACAAACCACACAUUGGGGGUAAAUAUUUGCAGAUCACAUAUUUAAUUUUUAAUUAGGAAUUUUAAAAAUAUGUAUAUACUCUCAAAACCUAAUAAGAAAACGACUUAAGGGAUGCUUGGGUGGCUCAGUGGUUGAGUGUCUGCCUUUGCCACAGGGCGUGAUCCCAGGAUCUGGGAUGGAGUCCUGCAUUGGGCUCCUUGCAUGGAGCCUGCUUCUCCCUCUGCCUAUGUCUCUGCCUCUCUUUAUGUCUCUCAUGAAUAAAUAAAUAAAAUCUUUUAAAAAAAGAAGAAAACUUAAUAAAAAAUGAGCAGAAGAUUUGAACAAACACUUCACAUAAGAUAUAUACCUGGACAUAUUUGUGUGUACAACAUACACCUAGUAUAUGGCCCAACCAUUUCACCCCUAGGUAUUUACCCGAGAGAAAUGAAAGUAUAUGUUCAUACAAAAAUUUAUAUACACAGGGAAAGGCAAUUAUCAUAUGGUCUCACUCAUAUGUGGAAUUUAAGAAACAAAACAGAGGAUGAUAGGAGAAAGGA